CAGCAGCCGCGGUAAUACGAAGGGUGCAAGCGUUACUCGGAAUUACUGGGCGUAAAGCGUGCGUAGGUGGUGGUUUAAGUCCGUUGUGAAAGCCCUGGGCUCAACCUGGGAAUUGCAGUGGAUACUGGGUCACUAGAGUGUGGUAGAGGAUAGUGGAAUUUCCGGUGUAGCAGUGAAAUGCGUAGAGAUCGGAAGGAACAUCUGUGGCGAAGGCGACUAUCUGGGCCAACACUGACACUGAGGCACGAAAGCGUGGGGAGCAAACAGGAUUAGAUACCCCCGUAGUCCCUGUCUCUUAUAU
Molecule: ribosomal RNA, 301 nt
Filed under: uncultured bacterium
Lineage: Bacteria
Description: partial 16S ribosomal RNA
Rfam family: Bacterial small subunit ribosomal RNA
Source: RNAcentral